CGAUACUCACUAUCUUAAAAAGCUAGUGAGCAGCGGCACGUGUUGCAUUUGUUUAUAUGCGAAAUGAACAAGAAAAUAGUUAUAAAUAAACGUGUGAAGGGCCAAUCUCGCGAAGAGUUGGCCCAGUUAAGCAAAACAGAAUUGAUUGACAAAAUUGUGCAGCUGGAGGCGUACAAUUUUCAGCUGAAAAAUCUUUUACAAAAGAAACUGUCCGAGGCGGACAAAAACAAUUCUGAAUAUGCUGCAGUAUUGCGCGGGGCUGACGGGGAUGAGUUACCAAAUAAAGUUGUUUCAGAAACCGUCAAAGAUGUACCUAAAAACAAAGAUAAACAACGUAAGUUUAACUGGGCCAGUGCGCACCAGAGGCAUGUUUUGAUGAAAAUAACGUAUUUUGGCUGGGAUUAUCAAGGGUUUGCUUGUCAGGAGGACUCCGCUGAUACGAUUGAAGGAUAUUUGUUUCGUGCCUUGGAACGCACCUGCCUCAUCGAAUCCCGUGCUACUUCCAACUACCAUCGAUGCGGUCGCACCGACAAGGAAGUGAGCGCCUUCUGCCAAGUGAUAUCAAUUAAUUUGCGUAGCAAGCACUCACCCGAUACUCAAAUGAAGCCAGAGUCGCUAAACACUGAAAUAGAUUAUUGCAGUCUGCUAAAUCGGGUGCUGCCCAAAAAUAUUCAAUGCGUAUCCUGGAUGCCGUUGCGAAAUCCCGACUACAGCGCUCGAUUUGAUUGUAUUUCACGCACCUAUCGCUACUAUUUUCCCAAGGGCGAUCUGGACAUUGACUCAAUGCAACAGGCCUGUCAGUUACUCGUCUGCCAUGGAGACUUUAGGAAUUUUUGUAAAAUGGAUGUGCAUAAUGGCGUAACGAAUUACAUGCGUAAUUUGCAGCACGCAGAGAUAAGGCCAUGUGACAAUACAGAACGCCAGUUAGAGCAAAACUCAGGCUAUAUUAUGUAUUAUCUGGAGAUAAAAGCAAAUGCUUUCCUAUGGCAUCAAAUACGAUGCAUCAUGGCUGUGCUGCUGCUAGUUGGACAAAAGAACGAGCAGCCAUCCAUAAUCACUAAAUUACUCGAUGUGGGUAGCAAUCCUUGUAAGCCCCAGUAUACGCCUGCUAUUGGGCUACCACUGAAUCUGUUCCAUUGUGAAUUUCGAUCGCACAGCACGCGUCAAUCGAAUCUUCCAAAUUUAUCACAGAUUGCGAUUGUGGAAAGCGAAAGCGAAAGCCAAAGUGAUCUAACCAAUUGGGUUUACAGUGAGGAGAAUCUACAGAAGCUGAUCGAGAACGUGCAGAGUGAGUGGACGCAGUUCAGUGUCAAGUGCACCAUGAUACGCAAUGUCUUAGUGCAACUGGAGGCACUCCUUGAGCAGAACUUCAAAACACCGCAGAUUCAAGCACAGGCCAUGCUGCUGCAGGAUGCGGCCAAGCCGCGCCAGUAUCAACCAUUGCUGCAGCGCAAACGAUGUGAGAGCUUGGAAAAUCGCAUUGACCAUUUUGUGAAAAAGCAACGACUGCUUGUAAAAAGCGACACAACGACGGAGACGAGUAAAAGUGAAACUGCUGAAUAUUAAUGAAUUUACUACAGCUUGAUGUGAUUUCGUUGUGGUGCUCAGAUUUGCUGGCUUGUUCCCGUAUGGCUGCAAAUCCAAUCAGUUAUAUCAUCCACUCUUCAUGGCAAACAAACCGCAACGUUUCAGUGCAUGUCACAUACGGAGUCUUGCAUUGCGAAUCAUCAGUCAAAUGGAUCACAUAAUGCCACGCUUUGUCACACUUGGUCGCUUAUGGGAUUUAGGGCCCCUAACCGAAACCACAGUCCAGACCAUAAAAGUACCAACCCAGACCUACCCAGAGGCAGCCCCCGUGCGCUUUGGAUCGCAUUACGUACAGUGGAGCCUGGGCCUGGCUACAGAGUGUAAAAAGUAUACGAAAGACUGGGUUCGAAAUGCGACCUGCUUAGAACCACUUUCGAAGACACCGUCACAGUCACAGUCACAGUCAUAGCCUCCGUCCGUUGCCCGCUGCCCGUCUUGUUUAUGGGCGAAACCUGUUUCAAGGACGCGGCGUUGGCGCAGUUCCAAGAACUCGCGGCUCAUUACCGUACCGCACGACGGGCGGGGCAAGUGACUGGAGCAACAACAACAACAAAAACGUGACUCUGAUUCUGCGACUGCUAAACUAUUUCUUUAAGCUGCAUCUGAGUCGCAUAGGACUUAUAAUGAUGCCCGUGACUCUAUCUCGCUCUGGUUUUUAUGCUGCGACUUUUCAUCUGUUACACUUAUAUAUACAUAUAUAUAUAUUUUUUUAAUUUGUCUGCUCGAAAAUACAAUGAAAAGAGCGCAUUUCCUAAUACCCUAUGCUCCACUAAAAAUGGGUAAUUAGGGAAUAAAGCUUAAGUCUGUCCGUUUGCUCGAUAUUUUGGUAGCAGCUAGUCGAACAUUCCAGACCAAGGAACUCUUACUUUCCAGAGACAAAUAGUUUUGCAUGCGGACUUCGAUUAUUUCCCCAACUAGGGUAUUUGUUAGUCUGGCCACUUUUAUUUAUUUAUAUAUAUAUUUAUAUAUAUAGUUUUACGUUUAUUAAAUUUACUAACUGCUUCUUUCUGUACAUAUCUCUCUCAAAUCGCGUCUCGUGGCUUUUGCUCCUGGCAACAAAUCAGAGCCGGCUGCAUAGUUGUAAAAUUCCUGUAAACAAGCCGUGGCUGCCGCUGCAGCUGUGGCAUGUAGUAUAAGUUGUGCCCCGAUACCCAUGCCACUAAGCACUCUGCUCCACACUCACACACACGCACACGCACACACAUACACUCAAAUAUCAGACAGACAACAAUUGCUGCAUUGGAUUUGUUCCAUGGGUAGUCAUUAAAGUUAACGACUGGAAAGUCCACAAAUAACAGUAGAGACUGAGACAGAUAGAGAAAGAGAGAGAUAGAGAGAGAGAGAGAGAUAGAGAGAGAGAGAGAGAGAGAGAGACUGAAAGAAUUAUUUAUCUAAGGCAUUGUAAAAUUCUUUAAAGAGAUUCUACGAGAAUUGAAUACAAAAAAGAAAAACAAAAA
Molecule: RNA transcript, 3044 nt
Organism: Drosophila mojavensis
Lineage: Eukaryota; Metazoa; Arthropoda; Insecta; Diptera; Drosophilidae
Gene name: tRNA pseudouridine(38/39) synthase
Exons: 7
Source: RefSeq, a predicted model, not a curated record